This 397-nucleotide ribosomal RNA is filed under the name uncultured bacterium. RNAcentral's name for it is "bacterial SSU rRNA". It matches the Rfam family "Bacterial small subunit ribosomal RNA", at positions 358 to 772 of the family's 1533-position model. The record is from RNAcentral.
GGAAUAUUGGACAAUGGGCGCAAGCCUGAUCAAGCCAUGCCGCGUGAGUGAUGAAGGCCUUAGGGUUGUAAAGCUCUUUCAGUAGGGAAGAUAAUGACGGUACCUACAGAAGAAGCUCAGGCUAACUUCGUGCCAGCAGCCGCGGUAAUACGAAGGGGGCUAGCGUUGUUAGGAUUUACUGGGCGUAAAGCGCAGGUAGGCAGUUUGUUAAGUCAGAGGUGAAAUCCCGGAGCUCAACUCCGGAACUGCCUUUGAUACUGGCAAGCUAGAGUCCGGAAGAGGUAAGUGGAACUCCUAGUGUAGAGGUGGAAUUCGUAGAUAUUAGGAAGAACACCAGUGGCGAAGGCGGCUUACUGGUCCGGAACUGACGCUGAGGUGCGAAAGCGUGGGGAGCAAA